Molecule: ribosomal RNA, 513 nt
Filed under: uncultured bacterium
Lineage: Bacteria
Description: partial 16S ribosomal RNA
Rfam family: Bacterial small subunit ribosomal RNA
Source: RNAcentral
GAUGAGCGCUGGCGGCGUGCCUAAUACAUGCAAGUCGAGCGAACAGAUAAGGAGCUUGCUCCUUUGACGUUAGCGGCGGACGGGUGAGUAACACGUGGGUAACCUACCUAUAAGACUGGGAUAACUUCGGGAAACCGGAGCUAAUACCGGAUAACAUUUGGAACCGCAUGGUUCUAAAGUGAAAGAUGGUUUUGCUAUCACUUAUAGAUGGACCCGCGCCGUAUUAGCUAGUUGGUAAGGUAACGGCUUACCAAGGCGACGAUACGUAGCCGACCUGAGAGGGUGAUCGGCCACACUGGAACUGAGACACGGUCCAGACUCCUACGGGAGGCAGCAGUAGGGAAUCUUCCGCAAUGGGCGAAAGCCUGACGGAGCAACGCCGCGUGAGUGAUGAAGGGUUUCGGCUCGUAAAACUCUGUUAUUAGGGAAGAACAAAUGUGUAAGUAAUUGUGCACGUCUUGACGGUACCUAAUCAGAAAGCCACGGCUAACUACGUGCCAGCCGCCGCCGUAA